AGGUUAUGGGUAUUGGGCUAGGUGGGAGCAUGAAAAUCGGGAAAAAGACAACGAGGUGUUAAUUUUGAGCGGAUGGACAAGUGGUUUUAAUUAUGACUUCACAAUGGAUUUGGCCAUCAGUCCAGACCAUUUUAAUGGUAUGUUACUUGGUCUAGUCCAAUUUAGAUAUUAAACAGAUUAAACAAGUUAAACUUUUAAUAUCUAAACCUGGCCCAAAUGUUAAAUAAGAUUAAAUAGGUCGAACUAUUUACCAUCUGAAUCUAUUUAGCCC
This 271-nucleotide long non-coding RNA is filed under the name Elaeis guineensis (African oil palm). RNAcentral's name for it is "long non-coding RNA (EGUI_LNC025923)". The record is from RNAcentral. Lineage: Eukaryota; Viridiplantae; Streptophyta; Magnoliopsida; Arecales; Arecaceae.